GCAUUAAUCAUAAUUCUCACAUCACAGGGAAAAAGAAAAAGAAAAAGAAAGUAAAGAAAAACAUAUGCAUAUGUAUCAUAAUAAUCUAAAUCGCCCUUGUGAAAGUUUCCUUCAAGCUCAAUUCGCAUGUAGAGAAGGAACAGAAAAUGCCAAAGGAUCGAAGUUGCCCUAUAAGAGAAACCGCCAUUAAGAAGGCGAUUCAGGUUUGUUGAGCACAGCUUGCUUGCCAUUUACUUUUCCAUGUACAAUCCUCAAUCACAUAUAAUAGAGAGUUGCAGCAGGAAACACAGCAGCCAAAGAAGUACAUAACGAAUAACAUCACAGGCACAGGCACACACACACACCCUACCUUUUUCAAGAACCGUGUAUAUAUGGCCACCCCUCCAUUCUUUUAUUUCCUGAGCAAAAAGAAACCAAAAGAAGGGGUGGCCAUGGGAAAGUAGUGAAAAGAAAGCCUCACAUAGUAAUGGAGGAAAGGUGCAGUGCUAAGAGGGUUUGCAUAAGGAGGAUUGUGCUGGUUGUUAUAGGUUUUAAUUUUUGAGCUUGUGAUCUUGGUCAGGUAGGCAAUAAAAGGGUGAGAUGACUUAACUAGUAGUGUCUAGUAUGUGGGCACUUUUUUUGGUUUUAUAAAAAGAAACCAAAAAGAAAAGAAAAGAAAGUAGACAGAGUGAAAUGGAGAGGUUGCAUGUUUUUAGCAUCUUCCAUAGGAUAUGCCAUUGCCACCUCCUUUCCUUCAACAUCUAAUGACAACUACUCUUGUCCUUAAUUAUUUCUCUCCAUUUAUUUUUCCACUUUAACCAGUC
Molecule: long non-coding RNA, 803 nt
Filed under: Ricinus communis (castor bean)
Lineage: Eukaryota; Viridiplantae; Streptophyta; Magnoliopsida; Malpighiales; Euphorbiaceae
Description: long non-coding RNA (RCOM_LNC003664)
Source: RNAcentral